This 1158-nucleotide long non-coding RNA is filed under the name Gallus gallus (chicken). Its description in RNAcentral is "lncRNA (ENSGALG00010024409.1)". Lineage: Eukaryota; Metazoa; Chordata; Aves; Galliformes; Phasianidae. The record is from RNAcentral.
GAGAGCCUCAGUGAACCACAAGACAGAGCAAAUGCUCCAGACCACAGGGCUCCAGCAACUCUGGCUGGGAAAGGUGCCUCACCAAAGCCAGGAUGAUUGCAACUGUUUAUGAGACCUGAUAGCAUCCAUUUUAAUAAGUCACAGCUAUAGAAGAGACCCACCACAAAACAAAGCUGGAAAAAUCUGAAAUGUGCAACUUAAGUGAACUGCUCUGAAGAAGCAACCCCACACCCAGCAUGUAAAGCUGUGCUACCUUGUUCCAUUGAUGGCAUGGCAUACACCACACCAAGAAUGCAGAGAAACCAGGCCAAACACACAGGGAAAUAUUAAAUGAAGAGAGAAGCAGUUAUUAGGAAAGUAAUACGUGAAUGGAAAAUACUAUAGGAAGAAUGAGUACAACGUGGGAACCACGGGAAUGGCCCACCAGAUGAGAAGACUGCAGUUACCAAAUAGGCCAAACUGCCAAGAGUAGUGCAGUAAAUUUCCAUCUCAAAAGAAGCUAGUGGAAGAAAAAACAGAGUUAGAGAAAAAUCCCCUUAUUUUCAUUUUUAGUUAAUCUUUAUCCCAUCAUUGAUGGAGAGUUUUGCAAUCUGGGCAGGAAGCAGAGACACCCACUCCUACAGGCAGAAAGAUGCAUUUGACGUGAGGCAUUUUCUGGGAUGCUCAUUGAACUGAAAAUCCCCUUUGUAGGUGAAGUCCACAAAUAUGACUAGAAGUCUGCAAGCCCAGGACCAUAUCACAACCUAUACAGGGUCUGUAUGCAUGGAGGGCUACCACAAGGCUGCAGGUUUCUCUGGCCUCAGACAACCUGGUAGCAGGGGAAGCACACUGUGCAGGGGUGUGCUGGAGCACUUUCUGCAGUGGCCCAUCCAGAGCUGCAGAGGAGUAAGCUCAUCUAAUAACAAUGGGUCUGGUCCAUUUCUUAAGAAACACUUCAGCCAACAAAUGACAUUGGAAAGAAAAACUGAUGGAAGAAGUAUCAUUCUUUACAGUAAAUUUGUACAUUAACAAGAUUCCUUCUCAUCUGGCAUUUCAGUUUAGUCAGCAGGUACUUUUUAUCAUAUUCUCAGAUAUCACGUCCAUAAUAGAAAGGCAUUAAAUGAUCCAACACAGUCAAUUGACAUCUAUGAAGCAUGUUAAAUAUUUAUGUCUUGUUUG